RNAcentral lists this unclassified non-coding RNA (4819 nucleotides) under Hevea brasiliensis (rubber tree). Lineage: Eukaryota; Viridiplantae; Streptophyta; Magnoliopsida; Malpighiales; Euphorbiaceae. The record is from RNAcentral.
CAGGGAUAUGACAGAAGAUCUCCUUAAUACACCCCCUCAAGAUGGUGGUUGAUCUGAAACACCAAUCUUGGAAAGAAAACGCCCAAAGUCAGAGCGUGGAAGAGCUUUAGUAAGCACAUCCGCCAAUUGAUCUUGACUAGAAAUAUGAGAGACACGAAGUUUACCCAACUGAACUAGUUGACGAACAAAGUGGUAAUUGAUCUCUAAAUGUUUCAUACGAGAGUGAAAAAUAGGUUUGGUAGUUACAUAAGUUGCUCCAAGAUUAUCACAAUAAAUGACUAGUGGCUUAGACAAUGGAACAGCUAGCUCCAACAGAAGAUUGCGAAUCCAACAAAGUUCAGAUGCAGUGGCAGAAAUGGAGCGAUAUUCCACUUCUGUCGAUGAUUUGGCAACCACACGUUGCUUCUUAGAGCUCCAUGAAAUAGGAUUUUUGCCCAAGAAGACAACAUAAGCUGAAGUAGAAUACCGAACAUCUUUAUCGCCACCCCAAUUAGAAUCCGAUAAGGCAUGAAGAACCAGAGAAGAAUGACGAUGAAAUUGCAGACCUUUAUCAAUGGUGCCAAUAAGAUAGCGAAUAACUCUUUUAACUGCAGCCCAAUGAUUAACAGUAGGAGUAGCAGAAAAUUGUGCUAGCUUGUUUACAGCAAAAGCAAUAUCUGGCCGAGUGAGCCCAAGUUAAUGUAGAGAGCCAACAAUUGUACGAUAUUCAGAGGGAUUAUCCAAUAAGGCACUGUCAUUGAGAGACAAAGAGUUACCGACAGCAAGCGGAGUAGGAACUGGUUUUGCACCAGUCAUUAAAGUCCGAUCAACUAUGUCCUCAAUAUACUUCCGUUGAGAAAGAAACAAACCAUGAUCAGUUCUAACAACCUUCACACCCAGAAAGUAAUUCAAAGAGCCAAGAUCUUGAAUAGAAAAUCGAUGCCCAAGUUUGUUGAUAAACUGAUUAAUAAACUUAAUAUCAUUACCUAUCACAAUGAGAUCAUCAACAUAGACAACCAAAUAGAGAGUAACACCAGCAGUGGAGCGAAUAAAUAAGCAAUGAUCUGAAUUGGACAUUUUAAAACCCAAAGAGAAUAAAUAAUCUCGUAAUUCUGAGUACCAAGCCCGAGGUGCCUACUUAAGACCAUAAAUGGCCUUGUGAAGCUUACACACAUAAUUGGGUCAAGAGACAUCAACAAAGCCUUUUGGUUGAGCCAUGAAGACAUCCUCUAUGAGCUGCCCAUGAAGGAAUGCAUUAUUAACAUCAAGCUGCCGCAAAGGCCAAUUAGCAGCCACUACAAUGGACAAGAGUACGCGAACAGUAGUAUGCUUGGCAACCAGAGAAAAUAUUUCAAUGUAAUCAAUUCCAGGCCUCUGAGUGAACCCCUGAGCAAUAAACCUAGCUUUAUAAUUGUUAAGAGUCCCAACUGAAUUUUCUUUAAUUCAAAAAAUCCACUUAGAACCAAUUAAAUGCUGAGAGGAAUCUGGUGGAACAAGAGACCAUGUUCCUUGACGCAUUAAAGCUUCAUAUUCAUUCUGCAUAGCAGACCUCUAGUCCGGAUCAUUAAGAGCUUGAGUGACUGUUCUGGGCUCUCUUUUGGUUUUGUGAAAAGGGGAAGUGGUGGUUAUUUGAGUGGUUAAGCACAUCUUUUGAAUUGGUUUUCUAAUAUUGUUUUUGGCUCUUGUAAGCAUGGGAUGGUUAUUUGUGGGAAUGGAGUCACUUGACAAAGGCAUUGCAGCUUCAGUGAUAGGUAGGGAUUAAGACUGUGUAGGAGUAGGAAAAGAAGUGGGUGGUGAAUCUGCAAAAGAGGAAACAACAUAUGGGGAAGAAAGCAAUUAGUGCUCAUACCUGAUAAAUGCUCAGUUGUAUCAGAAGAAUUAUUAAUGCCGCUGGGCACCACAGUAGACAGUGAAGGAGUGGAGGAGCUGGCCAAAACAGGUGGUAUCGAAUGAGAAAGAGGUAGCACAUAGUGAGGAACCCAAUCUUGCACAACAUUCUCAUGGACCCGAGGUUGAAAACAUGUCAACUAAGCAAAUGGAAACUGAUCCUUAACAAAGUCCACGUGACGAGAGACAAAAAUUUUAGAGGAAGAGGGAUCUAGACACAAGUAGGCACUCUGAUUUUGAGAGUAACCCAAGAAGACACACGGCCUUGAGCGCGGCUCUAAUUUGUGUUUGGAGUAUGGCCGAAGCCAAGGGAAACAUAGACAACCGAACACACGUAAUUUUUAAUAAUUGGGUAAAGACCCAAAGAUGCGCAAAUAUGGUGAGUCAUUAUUUAAAAUAGGUGUGGGCAUACGAUUUAUAAGAUAAACGGCAGUCUGAAAUGCAUAGGACCAGUAAGAGAGAGGCAAUUUUGCAUUAUGCAACAGGGUAAGUCCUAUUUCUACGAUAUGUCAGUGACGACAUUCAGCCAUACCAUUAUGUUCAGGAGUGUGUGGUGGGGUAAGGAAAUGGGAAAUGCCAUGUGAAGAAAGAAAAUCACGUAGAUGAAUGAAUUCACCCCCAUUAUCAAAAUAUAGAGAAAUAAUUUGACGAUUGAAGAAUUUUUCAACAGUGGCUUUAAAUUUUGGAAAAAUAGAAGAAACAUCAGACUUGGCCUUUAAUGGAUAUAACCACACAUAUUUAGUAAAAUGAUCAGCAAAAAUUAGGUAGUAUUUGUAACCAUUGACAUCAGAAAGGGGAGCAGGUCCCCACACAUCAGAAUAAAUAAAUUCCAAAGGGAAUUUUGAUUUUAUUGAAGACUGACCAAAAGAUAGUUUAUGCAUUUUAUUGCAUUACAAGAACUGCAAACAAAAUUGGAUGACCUAGAAGGAACAAACACUUCUAAGAAUUUCAAAACUUGACGGACAAUAGGGGACGAUGGAUGACCAAGCCAACAGUGUCAAAGAGAGAAAUUAGACAAUUUUGUAGAGAGUGCAAGAGAACCUUUAUUUGAGGAGAAAGAACAAUGUUGAAGAGGCCACUCAUAAACUCCAUCCUUAGGCUUUCCCGUUACUAGAGGUGCUCCCAUGCUGAAAUCCUUCACAACAAAAGAACAUGGUGAGAAUUCAACUGAAACAUUAUUGGUAGAGCAUAAUUAAUAAACAGAAAUAAGGUUCUUUUGCAUGUUAGGAACACAUAAAACAUGUGAUAAAUGUAGAGGUCUAUGAGAAGAGGGUAAGGAUGUGGAGCCAGAGUGAGUCACUCUUAAACUUUUACCAUCACCAAGCAUUAUAUCUUCGGCUCCAUCAUAUUCUGAGUGAAGGGAUAAAUUUUGUAGAUCAUUGGUCACAUGAUGGGAUGCACCAGAGUCAAUUAACCAGUCAGUUGUAUUAUUGGUAGAAGCAAAAUUUGCCCGAGGAACAUUGGUAGAUGAGGAAGAUGGUUGAUUCCCAAGCCAAGGAAAGAUUGCCUGAAGUUUACGACAUUGCUUUACAACAUGACCAAGCUUGUCACAGAGUUGACAAACAACCCGAUUUGUAUUCUGUCUAUUGUUGGAACGUUGAUUUUCAGACUGAGGUGCACGAUUAGAACCAGUAGAUUGACCUUGACCAUUGGAAGGUCAUGGAUUUUUGUUGAUGAGAGUAGCAGAGGAAUUAUUGGCAUGAGUCACUGCAUUGACGGUAACUAGACUGGAAACUGAGAUGGAUUUGCGUUGUAAGUAUGCUUCAUAAUCCACUAGCUUUUCAUAGAGUUCGUCAAAUGAGACCGAAUUAUCUCGUGUACGAAGAGCAUCUGCAAUACCAUUGUACUCGGAAGGCAAGCCAUGGAGCACAUGAAGAGUGAUAUCAUCCAUGGUUAAGGUAGACCCUGCGGAGUUUAAGGUGGUGACCAAAUAUUUAAUGUUCUGCAAGUAGGAAGUCAUGGAUUGAGUUGCUUUUUGUGCAUUGGCAAGAGAUUCCUUUAAGCCAAGUAAACAAGCACGGGAUGGCCUUGCAUAUAAAUUAUACAGUGUUUGCCACACUGCAUAUGUGGUGUCUGAUGCAAACACCUAUUGAACAAUAUCAGAUGAUAAUGAAGCUAUAAUAGCACUGCGAAGCAGUUGAUCUUGACGAUUCCAAUAAUCAGACACCAAUUGGUGUGCUGUUGGUGGUGAAGUAACAUAGGAGGUGAAGCCAUAGCCAAUUAAAGUUGUGUGUGGUAUGUGUGGGAUAGAUGAAGGAGCAAAGCUUAUGUUUGAAUUGGGUAUAUAAAGUUGUGGGAAGAGCUGAUGUGAUAAAGAGGUUAGAGGGAUAAUGGAUGGUGAAACAGAAGUUGUGACAGCAGUGAUUGUCUCGGUGAAGGUGGCAGAAAUGGUGGAGGUGUUUGGAUUGGAUGAUGGAGGUUGAGAAGGGGUGAUGUUGGCCAUGGCUUGGGGAAAAAAAAUUGAUUGUGCCGUUUGGCUAGUGCUCUGAUACCAUAAGAAUACUUGAAAGAAGAUCAUUAUUCAUAAUUUCAUUGAAAAGAAUAAUUGUAAUUUAUACAGGAGAAGAAUCGUAUAUAAGGCAAACCUGAAUAAUAUGGAAAUACAAACAGAAAGGAAAGAUGCUAAUUACAGGGAUGUGACAGCAAACAAUUCCGAUCAGGAAGAUCUUCUCAAUAGGAAAUACAUGCAAAAGGGAAAUAUGUUAAUUAUGGGGAUAUGACAGAAGAUAUCCUUAAUAAUAAGUAUUUUUACCAUCCCUUACCUCACACUUACCAAAAUCCCUAGCUAAUUCCCUCCAUCACACUCUGCUUCCCAAAAGUCUUCUACCCUUUCGGAAGCAAAACCAAAAUGAUUUCUCAAAUCAAAAUGCAAUGCAGUCAGAAGAAGUCGAAUGGAGAAUGGAGAGUGUUGAGGUCAGGUGCCGUUGCAUGCUUCUUGCAGCUGUGAAGAUAG